AGCGAACGUUUGCGGCGGGCUUAACACAUGCAAGUCGAACGGGCUGUUCCUUCGGGGGCAGUCAGUGGCGCACGGGUGCGUAACACGUAGGUAAUCAACCCUCUGGUUGGGGAUAACACUUCGAAAGGAGUGCUAAUACCCGGUAUGGCGCAGCGGUCUUCGGAUCGCGGCGAGAAAGACCCGCAAGGGUUGCCAGAGGACGAGCCUGCGGCCCAUCAGCUAGUUGGCGAGGUAACGGCUCACCAAGGCGAAGACGGGUAGCUGGUCUGAGAGGAUGAUCAGCCACACUGGAACUGAGACACGGUCCAGACUCCUACGGGAGGCAGCAGUGGGGAAUAUUGCGCAAUGGGCGAAAGCCUGACGCAGCCACGCCGCGUGAGCGAUGAAGGCCUUCGGGUC
Molecule: ribosomal RNA, 399 nt
Filed under: uncultured bacterium
Lineage: Bacteria
Description: bacterial SSU rRNA
Rfam family: Bacterial small subunit ribosomal RNA
Source: RNAcentral